AGCUGCAACCACAGAGCAUACUAAGACAAAUUAUCCUACCGAACCUUGACUCUUGAUACCAGUUGUUGGGAAAAAUAGCAUAAGUUAAAAGAAUUAAAACACAAUCACAACACAAGAAUAUAACGUGGAAACUCCAAAACCGGAGAAAAAACCACGGCUGCUGCCUAAACCGGCAACCAGAGAAUUAAUACUAUGUGAAAAUUGUUACAACACAUAGACUUCUCUCACUCACACCCCAG
RNAcentral lists this long non-coding RNA (239 nucleotides) under Cicer arietinum (chickpea). Its description in RNAcentral is "long non-coding RNA (CARI_LNC003605)". Lineage: Eukaryota; Viridiplantae; Streptophyta; Magnoliopsida; Fabales; Fabaceae. The record is from RNAcentral.